AUUGAACGCUGGCGGAAUGCUUUACACAUGCAAGUCGAACGGCAGCACGGGGCAACCUGGUGGCGAGUGGCGAACGGGUGAGUAAUACAUCGGAGCGUGCCCAAUCGUGGGGGAUAACGUAGCGAAAGUUACGCUAAUACCGCAUACGAUCUACGGAUGAAAGCGGGGGAUCGCAAGACCUCGCACGAAUGGAGCGGCCGAUGUCAGAUUAGGUAGUUGGUGGGGUAAAGGCUCACCAAGCCAACGAUCUGUAGCUGGUCUGAGAGGACGACCAGCCACACUGGAACUGAGACACGGUCCAGACUCCUACGGGAGGCAGCAGUGGGGAAUUUUGGACAAUGGGCGCAAGCCUGAUCCAGCCAUUCCGCGUGCAGGAUGAAGGCCUCGG
Molecule: ribosomal RNA, 388 nt
Filed under: uncultured bacterium
Lineage: Bacteria
Description: bacterial SSU rRNA
Rfam family: Bacterial small subunit ribosomal RNA
Source: RNAcentral